Molecule: long non-coding RNA, 5609 nt
Organism: Salvia splendens (bonfire salvia)
Lineage: Eukaryota; Viridiplantae; Streptophyta; Magnoliopsida; Lamiales; Lamiaceae
Exons: 13
Source: RefSeq, a predicted model, not a curated record
UUUAAUUGCCGUUGGAAAAAGCAUCACAUUCAUUGACCGCCUCUCGUCUCUUCUGAGUCGCCUCGAAUUCUCCGGCUGCGACGCCGCCGCCGAUGCCGGCUGCUCAUCGUGGCUUCAGGCGCCGCCGACGUGGAAGCAAUCUCCGUGUUUAUUUAAUCGAUGAGGCGGAAUUCACGUCACCAUCGACCUCCUCACGGACUCGCCGUCUGAUUUCGUUGACACCGAUUCUCGCCGAUCGGUGAGAGGUGCUCCAGGAUCCACUGGGCAGUCGCUGCCGUCGGAGUCUCACUUCGGUCGGUGUCAUACUCCAGCCAUCUCGGCUGCAUCGUCACUGUCAAUUUCGUCGGACUGCUGUGGACUUCGCGGCUUAGGAAAGUUUCCACUAAUUUUCCACUUUACAAAUUUUACCUUCCUGUUUGGCUAGAUAUGUUAGGGAUAUAGAUUUGGGUUCAUGAGAUUGGGUUCUCUUCUUGAGCAAGUGGUGGAUAUGACUUUGGAGUUUAUGGUGGAGCUAGGGCAAGUGGUGGAUAUGACUUUGGCCCUGGUGCUAGUUAUGGUGGAGCAGGAGGGGGAAUUAACGGAGGCAGAGCAGGUUAUAGUGGCAGUAGUCGAUACCAUCCUUAUUCAAGAUAGAUGUCUUUUAAGCAUCUUGAAGGAGUUCUCACAUUUCUCUUGGCUAUUGCUUCUCGCCACUCGGAGUUGACUAGAUUUUCAAUGUACUAGCAAGGAGAUGAUCUGUAGAAGACUGGAGAACCUUAGUAUUUUGUUGUUUCUUAUUCGCUGAAUUCUAAGUUUUAAGAAUCUCAUUGAGACACUGUUAAGCUUUCUAAUCUAGACAUCUUACCCUCUAUGAAAUGUAUUUUGUUCUAUUUUUAGUUAGAAUGGCCUUUUGCCUUUUUAGGUUCUACCUGCUAGAAGCUAAUGUUUAUCUAGAAUUGAGUAUACAUGCUCAAGUGAUCUGUGAGAUGAUGCCUCACCAGACAUAGCGCCUCUAGCUGUUUUUGAAUCUGUGAUUUGUGUCCAAGCUUUCUUGUGUGUUCUUUGGAAGUUCUGGCUGGAUGUAUUAAAGCCUCUAGUUCAGAGGGAAGCUUUAACAGCAAUCUUUCUACUCCCUCAUGGAGAGUUUGUAUCUGGCUGGUGCUCGUCAAACGUCCUACGAAGAGGAUGCACCAUUAGAAUGAGAAGGAUCUGUUUCUCAACAUGUUCAUUCGGUUCAUAGAGGACUAUUAGAAACUGUCAGAUGACAAAGUGUCCACAGUUAGCAAGAACUUAUGUUCACUGUUAAGUCAUGCAGAGUCUUUAGUUCCAGGAUUUUUGAAUGAAGAUGAUGUACAACUGCCUAGGUUAUUUGUAAGUCAGUUUGAGUGCCGAAUCGUUCGUGCUGCAUCGGAAAAUCAUUUAGUCCAUGAGCUUGGGAAGAGGUGGACUGCAGGAGCAACUAGCUUCCUAUAUUGGACUCCCGGCCCUGAUGAAAAAAAGAGGAAUAAGCUUCAUAAAAAGGAAUUUUAAUGCCAGAAAAGGAAGGUAGGAAGGUAAGACCGAUCUUGUAAAGAUGACAGCGAAGAUGGCAGUAUAUAUUUAAAGAAAACAAUUUAAUCGAUCAAUGAAAAUUGAAUGUUGGAAAGUUUCGAAGAUGAUCUAAAUUGACAGAGUAUUAUGUUUUUUAUUCUGAUAAUGAUACACUGGUAGAGGUUUGCUUUCUGCAUUUUGGUAUGUGAGAAGGUACCGGGUUUCCAGCAGGUAGGACAUCCGAGCUUUUAUUGUAGUCGUCAAAUCUUGGUCUUUGCGGAUUCUGGUAACACUUCUUCUCAUCUUUUUCGGGUGUCAUUCAAACCCGUAUAUACUCAACUUGUGAUGUUUCCUACUUAUACAUGGGUGCCUAACUGCUAUUUAUUCUCAUUCAUGCCUGAUAUGUUGAUUUUAUAGAUAAUUUAAAUGUUUUUUUUGUAAUUGACAUGUUAUGUGAUUAAGAGUAAAUUUCCGAGAGGUUGUCUGCCAUGGCUCUCUAAUAUGUGCAUCUCCCUAGUUUUUAAUGAUUUCAUACACAUCACCAAUUGAUAAACAACGAAUAUUAGCUUCAUAAAUAUCCAAAAAUUGCACUAGUACUAUGCUACUUGCUAUUUGUGUAUGCAUGCAAGAUCUUCUCUAUAUUGAUUGUCACUACUUUCACCACUUUUUUAUGGGUUAUUAGUGUAGGCUUCAUUUCUCUCAAGGGUUGGUUUGUAAACUUGUUGCUUACUAACUUCUGGAGAACUAGGUUUCCCGUGCUUCAGAUAAAGUGACAAGAGUGUUCUUUGGUGCCCGAUUUCUUGAGCUAAGGAGAGAGAACUAUUCCGGUUUUGAAAAAUUAAUUGAAAAAGCCAUAGGGCCGAUCGACUGAAUGAGAGCUUUAUGAGUUGCAAUCUUGUUGACAUUGGUGCAUAAAAAUGAUUUAGGCAAUAGGACAAAAAGCCUCAUAUCCAAAUUAUCACAUGCCUAACCCUAAAUAAACCCCUAGUGAGCCAGUUUGAGCCGCAAAAGCCUAAUUUCUUUGUUGAAAAUUUUGAAGUACUAUAUUAGCCUGCUUAUUAUAUCCAUUUUUUGGCCUAUAUUUUCUACCCUAGUCACUAAAAAUAAAAUGCUAGCACAUUCUCUGGAGGGUAUAUAUGGUGGCAAGAAAAAGAUGGAAAUCCUGGAAAAUUCUUGGGAGGGUAUUUAUGGUGGCAAGAAAAAGAUGGAAGUCCUGGAACAUUCAUCAGGUGGUAUUCAUUUAUACUGAGAUACAAAGUGAAAAGUUGUGUCUUCAAGCAAAAAUAAAAUAAAAAGGCAGCCUUUAAUGUGUAAAAAAAAUCCAAGGCUAGAAAAAAAAGGCAGCCUUUCAUGUGUAAAAAAAAGCCAAGGCUAGAAAAAUAAAAGGUAACCUUUCAUGUGUUAAAAAAAAGCCAAGGCUAGUAAAAAAAAUAAAAAUAAAAGGCAGCCUAUGAUGUGUAAAAAAGAGCCAAAGGCUAGAAAAAAAAGUGAAAAAUAGAAAUCUGCUCAAAAGAAUAAGAUGACUUUGUUUAGAUGGUAGAAAAAUUCAAGUUUGGGGUGUUGAGCUGUCAGAAUUUUGCACGCAUUGAGUGAGAUGUGAAGGAUGUUGUGAAGGAUGCUAUGAUGGAUGUGCUAGUAUUUUAAGAAUGUGAUAAGCUACUUAACCAAAUAUGAUCACACCUUUACCAAAAGCCCCAUUACAUCCAAAUGAAUAAGACCUUUUGAUUUAUGCAUCAUAUUGACUUGUGAGCGAUAAAUUUUGCUUGAGUUUGGGAGAAAGAUCUUACGUGCUUAAAAUAAAGAAUAGCCGGAAGAAACUCUCUUUAUGAAUUAGUGACGAUGGUUUGAGACUCCCAAUACAUAAAUCGAACUUACAUUGAAGCAUUGGGAUGCCUAACUCUUAGGGAAUUAGUUCGUGUACAAUUCUUGUUCUAAAGUCUUACCCGCGAGUGAAUUCGGGGUCAACCUAAUUUCUCUAAAUGAUUUGUGUGAUUUGAUGUGACUUGAAGUAGAGGAUUAUCUAAUGUCUUGUGAAUGUGCUUAUUUGUCUAACUUGACUUGAAGUAGAGCAAGACUUAUGUUUGGGGGUAUUUGAUGUGUGUGAGUAAUUGUUUAACUUGUUAUUAUACAAUGGAUGGAAUGGAGGGUAGCGCACUACUGCUCCAGUUCAGUUUUGACCAUCUCACUAUUUAUUCCAGUGAGUUAAAGGGUAUAAAGCUGCAACCAAUAUUUACUUCAAUAGUCAAUCAUUUAUUUUUAUAAACCUAACUUUAGUUCGAUAUUUAGUGUGUCAUUUCAUACUAAAGCCAUCAAUGAAGAACUAUUGCAAAAUCUUUCUGAUGCUCUAAACUUGUCGGUACCUGAUAAAAUUGGGGUUGUACUUGCGUUGUCUAAUUCUGAAUAACACGAUAUAUUCACUAUGCCUGGAUGUGUGGUUAGUUAUUUUCUUCUUUGUACAUACAUUUAGAUAUAAUUUUUUGUUUAGUUGUAGGAAGUGGAAUACAUACAACAGUUUAUAAUUUUUAUCUCUUUGGGAUUCUUCUACAUGCUGCACUAAACCUGUAACCCUUUUCUUGGUUGUAUGCAGGAAAGACUUUGUGUUUGAGUUUAGGGUUGUUUGAGUCAGAUCACAGAGCAAUCAUGCUGCAUUUGAGGCUACUGAGAUAAUUCAGCAUAUUCUAGUGUUACUCGUAGUCGAUUUGAAGGCCUCCCUAAGCAUUUAGAUUCAUUCUUGCAUAAAUAGACUAGAAAGUACUUAGUCGAUCUAAAGGUCGAGGGUGGUAGGGGGCGACUGAGUUCUUAACAUAAAAGAAACCAGUGGAAAGGAUGGAAAACUGAAGGCACAAGUCUAUUUAUUGAUUUUUGAGCUUGCUUUGCUUGAUCAUUUGCUUCUUGGUUGUUGCACCUAUAUUUUUCUGCUUAUUUAAUUCAUUCGUUGCUGCAUUUUGCAGAUUUAUAAUUAAUCUGUUAAAUAUAUUAUAUUUUUGUGAGUUAUACUGUGGCUGACGUUUUUAUUCUUUUUCUAAUCCACUGUUUGCUGUCUUGCUGCUCUAUAAAUAAUACAUACAUAGUAUCCUAUUUUUCUUUAUCUCAUAUGCCUGUACAAAUAUGUGCUAUAUUAGUGUUUCUUUGAUAUAUAAACCCCCACUGAUUGUCAAAUCUUGGCAUCUUAAUAUAUGCUUUUACAGGCUCUUUCCCAAGUACUUACUAGACACAUUUGCUUUUUACUUUCGCAUUAGGUUUGCUGAACUUGCAUCUAAAAAAGAAAUCAUGGGCCUUGGAAGCUGGUUGAGCACUCAAUUGAGUCUAUAACAAAUGUUCUUGCAUUGCUGAAAAAAUGUUUGGUAUAGAUUCAAGAGAGUUAAAUGCUCCCACCGAGGCAAGUUACCCGAAGGGACUGGAACGUAAUACAAAGCGCUUGGCAGAUGUCGUCUCAGAUGCUUCAAAUUUUCGGUCAUUCAUUAUGAUAAACUUUAGGGAAGCUUUAGCAGCAAUCUUUCUACUCCCUCAUGGAGAGUUUGUAUCUGGCUGGUGAUCGUCUAACGUUCUAGUUUGUGAAGAGGAUGCACCAUUAGAUGUACCUCGUUCAUCUUAUGCUCAUCAGAAAACGUCUUUGUUGAUUAAAGUGAUUGCAAACCUUCAUUGCUUUGUUCCUGAUGUAUACCAGGGUAAGAAAGAUCUGUUUCUCAACAUGUUCAUUCGGUUAAUAGAGAAGGACUAUCAGAAACUGUCAGCAUUUUGGUAUGCGAGAAGGUACUAGGUUUCCCAGCAGGAAAGACUUUGUGUUUGAGGCAGAUUACAGAGCAAUCAUACUGCGUUUGAGGCUACUGAGAUAAUUCAGCAUAUUCUAGUGUUACUCGUAGUUGAUUUGAAGGCCUCUCUAAGCAUUUAGAUUCAUUCUUGCAAAUGUUAUCUCUUGUGCUGCUAAGUUGUUUUCUGUGAUUGUUCCUAGUGCAUAAAUAGACUAGAUAGUACUUAGUCGAUCUGAAGGUCGAGGGUAGUAGGGGCCGACUGAGUUCUUAACUUAAAAGAAGCGGGGGGAAGGGUCGAAAAAUGAAGGCACAAGUCUAUUUAUUGAUUUUUGAGCUUGCUUUGCUUGA